This 984-nucleotide long non-coding RNA is filed under the name Mus caroli (Ryukyu mouse). Its description in RNAcentral is "lncRNA (MGP_CAROLIEiJ_G0013515.1)". Lineage: Eukaryota; Metazoa; Chordata; Mammalia; Rodentia; Muridae. The record is from RNAcentral.
CCUCCACGGCCUCCGAGGGACAGGCUCAGCCCUAUUGCCUUGGCGACACCAGUCUUGAAAAUAUGACAUUGGACACGAAGUAUGAAUCACAUCCUGCUUCAGCGAGCCUUUGACAAGAUGUUGCAGAAAACAGCUUUACAAUGUGGGGGGCCUGUGUGCAACUUACUGUCAGUCAGUGCUGGAGACCAGGGGCAUGGGGCCUCCAGAAGCACCUUCCACCUUCCACACAGCGCGAAAAGAAGACACACUGAUGAUGGGAAAUAUGGCCCGAGGCAGAUGGUGAGAAAGCUGUGCUGGCGGCCAGAAGGGAUCAGAGCCAGCUGGAGCCACGAGUCAGGGCAGACUCUCGAAGCUCAGUUUCCUUGGGUUAGCUCUCCAUCUAGCCCUGAGGUCGACACCCUGAACUUCUGGGACCCCAGGAAUGUGGGAUUCAGAGAGGUCAGUUCUGCUGGAGACAGUUCCACACCAAGGAUGCUUUUCCCAAGGACACGGUCUCUAUCUUCUAGGUGCCUGGACUCCACACAUGCCUAGUGCUCCUGAAAUGAAGUUCUAGAACCCACAGCCACUGGACAGGACUCUAGUGGAAAAGCAAUGCCUGUGAGUUUGCUUGGGCAGGCUUUGAACUCACUAUAUAGUUAAGUAUGAUCUUGAACCUCUCGUCCUCCUGCCUCAGCCUCCUGAGUGUUGGGAUAACUGGUGUGUUUCCUAAAAGCAAGACUAUUUCUUUACAGACUCCAGCAUACAUUCAGAGCAUGAAACUUGACCCUGAUUGCAUCCUGUUACUUGACCUGUAGACCUCAAUCUGUGCCUGCCCAUCAAUGCCUUCUUAGUAAAGGAAAACCCUAGUGCCAUGGCUGCCUCUCUCAGGCCCCUCUGAGAGGAAGCUGCCCCUGAGUCUUUGUAUUUUGUCUUUCAAGAAACACACGUCGGAUGCUUCAUAAAAUGUCAAAGAUCCCAUUGAAAAUAAAUUUAUUUUUAUUUUAU